Molecule: ribosomal RNA, 248 nt
Filed under: uncultured soil bacterium
Lineage: Bacteria
Description: partial small subunit ribosomal RNA
Rfam family: Bacterial small subunit ribosomal RNA
Source: RNAcentral
CACGUNAUGGUGGGGACUCAUAGGAGACNGCCGGGGUCAACUCGGAGGAAGGUGGGGACGACGUCAAGUCAUCAUGCCCCUUAUGUCUUGGGCUNCACNCAUGCUACAAUGGCCGGUACAAAGGGNUGCGAUACNGUGAGGUGGAGCNAAUCCCAAAAAGCCGGUCUCAGUUCGGAUUGGGGUCUGCAACUCGACCCCAUGAAGUCGGAGUCGCUAGUAAUCGCAGAUCAGCAACGCUGCGGUGAAUA